This 1251-nucleotide long non-coding RNA is filed under the name Strigops habroptila (Kakapo). RNAcentral's name for it is "lncRNA (ENSSHBG00005017151.1)". The record is from RNAcentral. Lineage: Eukaryota; Metazoa; Chordata; Aves; Psittaciformes; Psittacidae.
GUGGCCGGGGUGGGCGGGACCGGGGGCGAGGCGCCGCCGGCGUGAGUCGGGCUCGCGGUCUCGGAGCGGCGGUUGGGGCAGCGGCUUUGGCCCCCACACGGCCGGUAAUGAGGGGCAUGGGCCCGUUGUACCGCGGGAGAGGGAGCCCCUGCCUGCGGCCGGCUGGUGUCUCGUUGGGAGAGACCCGCCGGUUAAACCAGUCACCGUCCGCACCGACCGUGCCUGACGCCAGUAAAAGCCGGGUCUGAACUCCCAACGCAAAUCACGGCCUCCCGAUCGGUGCCGGGUGACUGCUGGUGCCUCGGGCAGGGACAGGGCAGGGCGUGACACGGCAGAGCUGCCGGAACCUCGGGCAGAGCGACAGGGCGAGGAGGGGACCCUGCCCCUCUGCUCCGGGGAGACCUCCCCUGCCGCUGGUCCAGCUCUGGGGCAACAGCACAAGAGGGACGUGGAGCUGCUGGAGCGAGGCCAGAGGCCCCGGAGAUGCUGCGAGGGCUGGAGCAGCUCUGCUCUGGAGCCAGGCUGAGAGAGCUGGGCUGGGGCAGCCUGGAGAAGAGAAGGCUCCUGAAGGGGACACCUUAGAGCAGCUCCAGUGCCUAAAGGGGCUCCAGGAAACCUGGAGAGGGGCUUUGGACAAGGGCCUGUAGGGCCAGGCCAAGGGGAAUGGCUUUAACCUGCCAGAGAGGAGAUUGAGAUGAGCUCUGAGGCAGAAGCUCUUCCCUGUGAGGGUGCUGAGGCGCUGGCACAGGGUGCCCAGAGAAGCUGUGGCUGCCCCAUCCCUGGCAGUGUUCAAGGCCAGGUUGGACACAGGGGCUUGGAGCAACCUGCUCUAGUGGAAGGUGUCCCUGCCUGUGGCAGGGGGUUGGAGCUGGAGGAGCUUUAAGGUCCCUUCCAACACAAACCAGGCUGGGAUUCUGUGAUUCUAUGAAGGUUUGAUCCAGAGCCAUCCAAAUUUACCAGGCAAGCAGGCUUCAAAUCGUAUCCAAACUGGAGAACUUCUCCAAACAAAAGCUUUUGGAAAAAGAGCUUUUAUUAAAAGGAUCCUUCUUCAGGAUGAUUCAUGGACAAGAGGAAGCUGUGCAGAGCAGAUUAUCAGAUGUCCUAAGUCAAAGCCAGGGAAGAGUGCCCUGGUUCCGGCAGCACUGUCAGCGUUCUGACAGGCACAUUCCAGUCAUCUCCUUGCCUCAGUCUGCACGGCUGAGCUGGUGAUAAGACACAAAAGCAGCCUUUUCAUUUCAAGCAGCACAAAAA